RNAcentral lists this long non-coding RNA (3801 nucleotides) under Sus scrofa (pig). RNAcentral describes it as "lncRNA (ENSSSCG00055027098.1)". Lineage: Eukaryota; Metazoa; Chordata; Mammalia; Artiodactyla; Suidae. The record is from RNAcentral.
GAAGAAAAACUGUAUUUCAAAACGUUAAAAAGCAUCCUGUGUCUCUGGAAUAAAAAUCUGACUAUAAAUCAAAGAACUUAUUAAUAAGCCUUUGACCAGUAUUCAGAGUUUUUAUGAUCCCAAAGUACUUACUGAAGAAUUAGGCAAACAAAUGAAGUUAGCAAAAUGUUAUUUUAUAGUAAGCAAAUCUAAGUCAUCAGUUCUAUUCCUACUUCAGAUGCUCCUGGAGUUAGAGAUUUAAAGUGACAUCUAGAGAAACCUCUGCACUAGAUAUAUUAGAUGAAAAUGAAGUCACUGAAAAAAAAGAAAAACAAAACAAAAUGAUGUACUACAUUCUAUCCAAUAACUGAUAAAAGUGAGGAAGGAAGGAUUUUCCUCUAAAGCUCAAAAUUUUAGCCACUGAACUAAAUAAAAAUGGGGUGAAGGUGGGACUAAUUCUCAUAUUCUGCACACAUCAUAAGCUCAAUUCCUCUCUUCAAAAUACUCAGCUGGUAUAUACUGUGUGUUUGUUCUUUGAAAAUACACAAAAGAGAGUUUGGGUAGUGGUAAAUUAAUACAUCAACAAAAGACACCCUAAAUAUAUUUAAAAUUUUUGAAAAUGGUUAGCAUCUUAUUACUUACAGCCUGUAUUUCUCUAUCUCUUCUCCUUGAGGUAAUAAGCUUUUGCAAGUAGAGAGGAAACUCCAAAUUCAUUGUAUGAACAUUUGUUGUUACAUGGCAAAACAAGAGUACCCAAACUCAGCAGCUUAAAACAACACACACUUAUUAUUUCACAGUUUCUGUGGGUCAGAGUCUAAGCAAGCCUUAGCUGGGGCCUCUUUUCGGGGUCUCACAGGCUACAAUCUCCGUGUCGACCUGGCUGAGUUCUCAUCUGAAACUCAGCUGGGGAGGGGCCUACUUCCAUGCCUACUUAUGUUGGCAGAGUUAAGUUCCUUGCAGUUGUGAGUUUCAGUGUCUUACUGGUGGCCAGCUGGUGGCUAUCCACAGUUUGCAGAAGCUGCUUGUAGUUCCUUAUUGACACGGGGUUCCCAGGGUGCCUGCUUACCUCCUCAAAAUGAGCACAGGAGAGAGAGAGCCCAGCAUGAGAGACACUACAAUCUUAUGGAACAUAGUUGCAUACAUGUAAUCACAUAUCCUGUCGCUUUUAUCCUGUUCUAUUGAUUGGAAGCAAGUCACCAUCUAUGGACAAAGGGAGGGACACACAAGGGCAUGAGGACCAGCAGGCAGGGGCCUGGAGGCCGCCUGAAGAAUAAUCUGUCUGUUCCACUCAUGUAUUUUAAUAGUUAUUGGUAGAUUCAUCUUUAGUGGGAGAGAAGGAUGACAAUAUUGACUUUAAAAGCCAAAAGAAGUCUACAUUCCACGUUUUCCCUUUUGUCCCCUCAAUAAUUGAGUACUGGCUCUUGAUGUAUUACCUUGAAAUGAUUAUAAAGGCUAGCUAUACAUUGCCUAUAAUUCAAAUUGUAAAAACAGAUUCCUUUUCAUAACAAUGUAUCUUGCUCGUCUAGUUUAGUACAGAAUCUCGUGUUCUCACGCAUUCUAGUUUUCUCAGCGCUUGCUCAAUGCCUUGAGGCUGCAAGAAGUAUGACACAGCUUUUUCAUGCACCUUUCCCUAGGAAACCCUUCAGCGGGUUCCAGGAAGCAGAGACACUGCUGCCAAACAAUGGAUUUGCUUUGCAUCUGGUAUUCCUAUGCCUCAGGAUCUAAGACAGACCAAGUAUUUGUCCCAAGAUGACCUAAUGUACCAGAUUAUGGUAAAAUGGUGAGUUCAUCUUAGUUCAACAUUUAUGCUACAGCACUCUUUCUACAGGCUUAAAUAAAUUCACGACAGUCCUUGUGAACUGUAGAUGGCAUCAGCACGAUUAUGGGUGAUGCCGUAUGUGAUUAUAUAAAGUUGAAGAGAAGGCCAAAGGCUAUCCUAAAAAGAACUCACAGUAGGUGUGACACUUGGAGUUCUUGACACUGAGUUCACCCUUCAAAAUGUAAGGCCACACCAUCCAUUUUCUAACCUACUGUUCUGCGGUGCUCAUACAAUACGAUGUAAAGAUUACUCUCAUUAUUAACCACCAACACCUCACAUCCCCAUGGCUUUCGCAUUUGCAAAACACAUUCAUCAGGAUGAUCUCAUUUCAGAGAAGCGAUAAUGGAAUCAAGGAGGGUUUCCUCCUACCACUUUUUAGACCAACAUUUAUUAUAGGUUGUGAGCUUCAUUUCUCUUUUGCAAUGGAAAUUAUAUGAUCUUUUCUUUAAAUCUCAGCUCCCAAUUAUUCCUUGGGUGAGGAAGGCUUCUGGGAGAGCCUCCUGCCUACUGUUAGUGUGUCUUUCUGCCUUUGCUUCUCCACAUGGAAGAGCUUUGUGUUAUUGUCCCUCUUACUCUGAAUGUUCCACUGUUUUCAAGUGCGUUUUUUCAGUUCACUUGCUGGAUGGGAACUUCAUCGAAGGAAGGGAUUUCAAUUGUUUUGAUUAUUUUUGGUUGAGGUUGUCCUCAAAUCCCCCUAAGAGUGCUCUUGUUCACAGAAGCAUCUGACAGAGGGUGCCCACGGUCUGACACUUAGCGCUGAUGGAAAGAUGUUCACCCUUUAGAAAGUGAUCGCCCCUACUUUCUCGACUCUGCUCCUACGGUAGGUUGGAAAAGGACAAACUUCUUUCACCACUGGUUACCCAGUAAUCAUUUUUCAGAACUAUUUGAAGUACUCUACUUAUAUUUUAAAGUGAUAGAGCUCAGCACAUUUUCUGAAAGGUGAUUUUCAAUUAUUUUAAACGACAUCAUUGUUAUCUCAACAUCUUCCAUAGAAUUCUCAGUACAUAAAAGAGAUCAUUGCUGAUGGAAGGUGAUGAGGAGUGGGGUGGGGGGAGUGGGUCUAGCCUGCCUUCCUAUCUGCCCCCAUCCUAGGACCCCCGCCCCAAAGAGAAAAUCUCUCUCCAAGGCUGUAAAUUCUGAAUCUCAUUCCCACCAACUACUUGGGAGCUGGCCACGAAGUCAGGUUGAGACGUCCCCAGUCAAUUGCUCUUUUACCUGUACAAGGUGACACUUGGCUCUGUUUUUCCAGGAAUGCUGAUCAGUUCAUGUUGAUGUAGUCACAUUAGCAUUAUGUUAAUGUUAUUGAUAUUUUCAAGGACUGUGAGAUAUCUUACAUUAGCAAUUUCCCUCAAGAAUGACAAGAGAAAGAAUGAGUUGGCUGCAUCACCCCAAGUUUAAAGGCAGGACUAAUCAAGUGACUUUCGAAAUGGUAUGUGUUAACCCAACCAUCUUCCCUGGACACACGGCAAAAUUAUAACAGCUAAGAGUUUAUGUGUGGUCUUCACAAAUACUUCAAAGCAAGUAUUUCAUCCUUCAUUGACAGUUUAAAAAACCAAGACUCAGAGAAGCUAAAUACCUUUGCUGAGGUCACACGCCUGGAAAAGGGUAAUGCUGGCAUCUGAAUCCAGAUCGGUCUCGCUCCAAGACACAUACUCUUUCUGGAUUUCACACUAAGGAGGGAUGUGCUGCCCUUUUGGAGGAGCUUGUUCUAAAACCCGGAUUUAGGAGUUCCUGUCGUGGCUCAGUGGUUAACGAAUCCGACUGGGAACCAUGGGGUUGUUUCACAGAGUUCCUGUCGUGGCUCAGUGGUUAACGAUUCCGACUAGGAACCAUGAGGUUGUGGGUUUGGUCCCUGGCCUUGCUCAGUGGGUUAAGGACCCGGUUGCCGUGAGCUGUGGUGUAGGUCGCAGACGCGGCUCAGAUUAUGCAUUGCCGUGGCUGUUAAGGGCAGGAGGAUGUGUUUGUGGCUAGAGCAGCUGUCCAUCCAAGACUUCAGAGGCCCA